GAUGAACGCUGGCGGCGUGCCUAAUACAUGCAAGUCGAGCGAACAGAUAAGGAGCCUGCUCCUUUGAAGUUAGCGGCGGACGGGUGAGUAACACGUGGGUAACCUACCUAUAAGACUGGGAUAACUUCGGGAAACCGGAGCUAAUACCGGAUAACAUUUAGAACCGCAUGGUUCUAAAGUGAAAGAUGGUUUUGCUAUCACUUAUAGAUGGACCCGCGCCGUAUUAGCUAGUUGGUAAGGUAACGGCUUACCAAGGCGACGAUACGUAGCCGACCUGAGAGGGUGAUCGGCCACACUGGAACUGAGACACGGUCCAGACUCCUACGGGAGGCAGCAGUAGGGAAUCUUCCGCAAUGGGCGAAAGCCUGACGGAGCAACGCCGCGUGAGUGAUGAAGGGUUUCGGCUCGUAAAACUCUGUUAUUAGGGAAGAACAAAUGUGUAAGUAACUGUGCACAUCUUGACGGUACCUAAUCAGAAAGCCACGGCUAACUACGUG
This 497-nucleotide ribosomal RNA is filed under the name uncultured bacterium. RNAcentral's name for it is "partial 16S ribosomal RNA". It matches the Rfam family "Bacterial small subunit ribosomal RNA", at positions 28 to 507 of the family's 1533-position model. The record is from RNAcentral.